Molecule: ribosomal RNA, 265 nt
Filed under: uncultured archaeon
Lineage: Archaea
Description: partial 16S ribosomal RNA
Rfam family: Archaeal small subunit ribosomal RNA
Source: RNAcentral
AGUCACUGACAUUAGACUACCCGGUAGUCCCAGCCGUAAACUAUGCUCGCUAGGUGUCAGGCAUGGCGCGACCGUGUCUGGUGCCGCAGGGAAGCCGUGAAGCGAGCCACCUGGGAAGUACGGCCGCAAGGCUGAAACUUAAAGGAAUUGGCGGGGGAGCACAACAACGGGUGGAGCCUGCGGUUUAAUUGGACUCAACGCCGGACAACUCACCGGGGACGACAGCAAUAUGUAGGCCAGGCUGAAGACCUUGCCUGAAUCGCUG